RNAcentral lists this ribosomal RNA (867 nucleotides) under Triticum aestivum (bread wheat). RNAcentral describes it as "partial small subunit ribosomal RNA". Lineage: Eukaryota; Viridiplantae; Streptophyta; Magnoliopsida; Poales; Poaceae. The record is from RNAcentral.
AUGCCCAUGUUUCAGGAGUUUUUUGAGGGGCAGCUUCAAUUGUUUAAGCUGAAUUUUGGGACGAUAACUCUUCUUCCUAAGAAGACAGAGGCAGUUCGCAUUGAGCAGUUCAGACCUAUAUGUCUGCUUAAUGUGAGUUUCAAAAUCUUCACCAAGGUUGGGACAAAUAGACUUACGCAGAUUGCACACUCAGUAGUUCAGCCGUCCCAGACUGCUUUCAUGCCGGAUAGAAACAUCCUCGAAGGGGUUGUUGUCUUGCAUGAAACGCUCCAUGAAAUCCACUCCAAAAAACUUGAUGGCGUAGUUUUUAAAGUGGAUUUUGAAAAAGCAUAUGAUAAAGUCAAAUGGCCUUUCCUUCAACAAGCUUUGCGUAUGAAAGGUUUUGAUCCGGCCUGGAGAAACCAGAUUGAUUCCUUUACGCAAAAAGGGAGUGUCGGGAUUAAGGUGAAUGAUGACGUGGGUCACUAUUUCCAGACACACAAGGGGCUACGGCAAGGAGAUCCUAUGUCACCAAUCCUGUUUAACAUAGUGGCUGAUAUGCUGACUAUUUUAAUAGGUCGGGCAAAGGAUGCAGGGCAGGUAGGUGCCCUGGUUCCACAUCUAGUUGACGGCGGGAUCUCCAUUCUUCAGUAUGCUGAUGAUACUAUCAUCUUUAUGGAGCACGAUUUGGCGAAAGCAAGAAACAUGAAGCUGCUGUUAUGCUUAUUUGAACAAUUGUCUGGGCUCAAAAUCAACUUCCACAAGAGCGAAUUGUUUUGCUUUGGAAGAGCCAAUGAGGACCGGGAGUCGUAUCAACAAUUGUUCGGAUGUGAAUUGGGCUCAUUACCGUUUACGUACCUAGGUAUACCCAUUCAUCAUCGUAAGCUG